AGUGAACGCUGGCGGUAGGCCUAACACAUGCAAGUCGAACGGCAGCACAGUAAGAGCUUGCUCUUACGGGUGGCGAGUGGCGGACGGGUGAGGAAUACAUCGGAAUCUACUUUUUCGUGGGGGAUAACGUAGGGAAACUUACGCUAAUACCGCAUACGACCUACGGGUGAAAGCAGGGGAUCUUCGGACCUUUCGCGAUUGUAUGAGCCGAUGUCGGAUUAGCUAGUUGGCGGGGUAAAGGCCCACCAAGGCGACGAUCCGUAGCUGGUCUGAGAGGAUGAUCAGCCACACUGGAACUGAGACACGGUCCAGACUCCUACGGGAGGCAGCAGUGGGGAAUAUUGGACAAUGGGCGCAAGCCUGAUCCAGCCAUACCGCGUGAGUGAAGAAGGCCUUCGGAUUGUAAAGCCCUUUUGUUGGGAAAGAAAAGCAGCGUGUUAAUACCCCGCUGUUCUGACGGUACCCAAAGAAUAAGCACCGGCUAACUUCGUG
Molecule: ribosomal RNA, 492 nt
Filed under: uncultured bacterium
Lineage: Bacteria
Description: partial 16S ribosomal RNA
Rfam family: Bacterial small subunit ribosomal RNA
Source: RNAcentral